RNAcentral lists this ribosomal RNA (433 nucleotides) under uncultured bacterium. RNAcentral's name for it is "partial 16S ribosomal RNA". It matches the Rfam family "Bacterial small subunit ribosomal RNA", at positions 29 to 507 of the family's 1533-position model. The record is from RNAcentral.
AACGAACGCUGGCGGCAUGCCUAACACAUGCAAGUCGAACGAGACCUUCGGGUCUAGUGGCGCACGGGUGCGUAACGCGUGGGAACCUGCCCUUAGGUUCGGAAUAACUCCCCGAAAGGGGUGCUAAUACCGGAUAAUGUCUUCGGACCAAAGAUUUAUCGCCUUUGGAUGGGCCCGCGUUGGAUUAGCUAGUUGGUAGGGUAAAAGCCUACCAAGGCGACGAUCCAUAGCUGGUCUGAGAGGAUGAUCAGCCACACUGGGACUGAGACACGGCCCAGACUCCUACGGGAGGCAGCAGUGGGGAAUAUUGGACAAUGGGCGAAAGCCUGAUCCAGCAAUGCCGCGUGAGUGAUGAAGGCCUUAGGGGUGUAAAGCUCUUUUACCCGGGAUGAUAAUGACAGUACCGGGAGAAUAAGCGCCGGCUAACUCCGUG